CCGGUGCUGAUAAGCUGAAAUGCUGAUGCUGUCGCUGCAGUGGAACGGUCGAUGCAGGCGGGCACGGAGACAUUGGUUUUUAAAGUAAAGUGUAUUUUAUAAAAAGCGUCGCGGUUUAAAUCAAAUCGAAAAAGUUCAAAGAACAGAAAAGUGUACGGCGCUGCACUUGUUAAAAAAACGUAACGCGUAAAACACAAGAUCGUUGGAUCUGUCGCAGUCAUCUGUAAAAGCAGUUUCCCAAAAUUCAUAUUGUUGGGUUUAUCCAAUUUAAAAAGCACGUUAAAAGUAAGAUAAAAUUAAAAAUAAAAUUUAAUGUAGUAAGGGGGUGGUGUAGCCGUCACGUGUCUGCCUGUUCCCGGUGCUGAUGUGCUGACAUGCUGAUGCUGUCGCUGCAGUGGAACGGUCGAUGCAGGCGGGCACGGUGACAUUCGGUUUUAAAGUGUAGUGUCUUUUUUAUAAUACGACGCGGUUUAAAUCAAAUCGAAAAAGUUUAAAGAAAAGUGUGCGUAAAAUCAGUUUCACAAAAUUCACAUUGACUUUUGAAUAAUUGGACGUAAUCCAGUUUUAAAAAGUUAACGUUGAAACACAAAGUAAAGGUGUCACGUGUCUGCCUGUUCCCGGUGCUGAUGUGCUGACAUGCUGAUGCUGUCGCUGCAGUGGAACGGUCGAUGCAGGCGGGCACGGUGACAUUAGGUUUCAAAGAAAAGGGUAUUUUAUUAAAAGCGACGCGGUUUAUAUCAAAUCGAAAAAGUUCAAAAAACAGAAAAGUGUACGGCGCUGUACUUCUCAAAAAACGUAAUGCGUAAAACACAAAAUCGUUGGAUCUGUCGCAGUAGUCUGUAAAAGCAGUUUCCCAAAAUUCAUAUUGUUGGGUUUAUCCAAUUUAAAAAGCACGUUCAAAGUAAGAUAAAAUUAAAAAUUAAAUUUAAUGUAGAAGGGGUGGUGUAGCCGUCUCGUGCCUGCGUGUUCCCGGUGCUGAUGUGCUGACAUGCUGAUGCUGUCGCUGCAGUGGAACGGUCGAUACAGGCGGGCACGGUGACAUUAGGUUUCAAAGUGUAUUUUAUUUAUAUAUUUGUCAAAAAACGUAACGCGUAAAACACAAUAUCGUCGGAUCUGUCCAAAGUAAAUAAAAAUAAAAUUUAAUGUCGUAAGGGGUGGUGUAGCCGUCACGUGUCUGCCUGUUCCCGGUGCUGAUGUGCUGACAUGCUGAUGCUGUCGCUGCAGUGGAACGGUCGAUACAGGCGGGCACGGUGACAUUAGGUUUCAAAGUGUAUUUUAUUUAUAUAUUUGUCAAAAAACGUAACGCGUAAAACACAAUAUCGUCGGAUCUGUCCAAAGUAAAUAAAAAUAAAAUUUAAUGUCGUAAGGGGGUGGUGUAGCCGUCACGUGUCUGCCUGUUCCCGGUGCUGAUGUGCUGACAUGCUGAUGCUGUCGCUGCAGUGGAACGGUCGAUGCAGGCGGGCACGGUGACAUUAGGUUUCAAAGUGUAUUUUAUUUAUAUAUUUGUCAAAAAACGUAACGCGUAAAACACAAUAUCGUCGGAUCUGUCCAAAGUAAAUAAAAAUAAAAUUUAAUGUCGUAAGGGGGUGGUGUAGCCGUCUCGUGCCUGCCUGUUCCCGGUGCUGAUGUGCUGACAUGCUGAUGCUGUCGCUGCAGUGGAACGGUCGAUACAGGCGGGCACGGUGACAUUAGGUUUCAAAGUGUAUUUUAUUUAUAUAUUUGUCAAAAAACGUAACGCGUAAAACACAAGAUCGUUGGAUCUGUCCAAAGUUAACAAAAAUAAAAUUUAAUGUCGUAAGGGGGUGGUGUAGCCGUCACGUGUCUGCCUGUUCCCGGUGCUGAUGUGCUGACAUGCUGAUGCUGUCGCUGCAGUGGAACGGUCGAUACAGGCGGGCACGGUGACAUCGGGUUUUAAAAUGUAGUGUGUCUUAUUGCACGUUCUAAAGCGACGCGGUUUAAAUCCAAUCGAAAAAGUUUAAAGAAAAGUGUGCGUAAAAUCAGUUUCACAAAAUUCACAUUGACUUUUGAAUAAUUGGACGUAAUCCAGUUUUAAAAAGUUAACGUUGAAACACAAAGUAAAGGUGUCACGUGUCUGCCUGUUCCUGGUGCUGAUGUGCUGACAUGCUGAUGCUGUCGCUGCAGUGGAACGGUCGAUACAGGCGGGCACGGUGACAUCGGGUUUUAAAGUAAAGUGUAUUUUAUUAAAAGCGACGCGGUUUAAAUCAAAUCGAAAAAGUUCAAAGAACAGAAAAGUGUACGGCGCUGCACUUGUUAAAAAAACGUAACGCGUAAAACACAAGAUCGUUGGAUCUGUCGCAGUCAUCUGUAAAAUCAGUUUCCCAAAAUUCAAAUUGUCGGGUUUAUCCAAUUUAAAAAACCAAUUAAAAGUGAGACAAAACUAAAAAUAAAAUUUAAUGUCGUAAGGGGGUGGUGUAGCCGUCACGUGUCUGCCUGUUCCCGGUGCUGAUGUGCUGACAUGCUGAUGCUGUCGCUGCAGUGGAACGGUCGAUGCAGGCGGGCACGGUGACAUUAGGUUUCAAAGUGUAUUUUAUUUAUAUAUUUGUCAAAAAACGUAACGCGUAAAACACAAGAUCGUUGGAUCUGUCCAAAGUUAAGAAAAAUAAAAUUUAAUGUAGUAAGGGGGUGGUGUAGCCGUCUCGUGCCUGCCUGUUCCCG
Spodoptera frugiperda (fall armyworm) is the source of this 2676-nucleotide long non-coding RNA. RefSeq lists it as uncharacterized. The transcript is spliced from 6 exons. The record is from RefSeq and is a predicted model, not a curated record. NCBI's taxonomy places the organism in Eukaryota, Metazoa, Arthropoda, Insecta, Lepidoptera, Noctuidae.